AAGCCUCUCCUGCUCCUACAAGUCCCCCUACUUCUCCAGGUUCCCCUGGUCAGUCCCAAUCCCUGCCUCCCUGUGCCCUCUCUACCAACCAGUCCCCCUGGGGGAUCUCUAGCCGGCCUUCCUGUCACACCUUCCAGGAUCAGGGAGAGUGUCCCCUCGUGGGGAAGCGGCAGGUGGCAAGGGCACCGUCCAAGUACAGGUGUCCUUCUCCCCGACCAGGUGAGCCCAGUGUAAACACAGUCUGGGCCAUUUUUCUUAGGAUCCUUUCAGGUUUACUGAAGGCUUUCAAGCCUUGAGCCUGACCUUUGAUUCAACAUGGAAGGACAUCCAAAUAGCCUGUCUUCCUGUUGUGUCCACAAGAAGCGGAGGGUUUGGGCAGCAGCGUGAGGGCACGCUGACCAGCUCCACAGGGGCCGACCCAACAGGGAACUAUAUCCAGUCUCUUGGGACAGACCAUGAUGGGCGAUAAUAUGAGAAAAGGAAUAUAUGCCCAGGUCACUUUGCUGUCCAGCAGAAAUUGACACAACAUUGUAAAUCGACCAUACUUUAAUUUUAAAAACAAAAUCAAGAGUUCCCAGCAUGGCACAGCAGAAAGAAAUCUGACUAGCAUCCAUGAGGACUCAGGUUCGAUCCCUGGCCUCCAUCAGUGGAUUAAGGAUUCAGCGUUGCCAUGUGCUGUGGUGUAGGUUGCAGACGCAGCGCCAGAUCCCUUGUUGCUGUGGCUGUGGUGUAGACCAGCAGCUGCAGCUCCGAUUCAACCCCUGGCCUGGGAACCUCCAUAUGCCACAGGUGCAGCCACCCACCCCAAAAAAGGAAAAAGGAAUGAAAAAUGCAUCAGGAAACCAACCAACUAUGAAAAGGUCAAGGAAGUGACCCAAGAGAAGGAAGAAAAUCCAGUUUUCUUUCAAGGAUGGUAUGCGGAGGCUUUCAGAAAAUUAACUAACACCGACCCCUUCACUCCCAAGGGUCAGUCCUUGCUGGGACAACAUUUUAUCAACCAGUCUGGGAUUUAUUAGGCAAAAGCUACCAUCAGCCCACAAACCCCUGUGCCUCAACUCAGAGGUAGCCUUUGGGGCAUUUAAUAAUUGAGAUCAAGCUGAGGAGGAGGAAAGAACUCAGUGUGAAAAAGGCAGGCCAAGGCUCAAGCUAAACUCAUCACCAUUGCUGUCAGCCUGGCCUUGCAACCUGAGGGCAACCCCAGGGGACCUAGAAGCGUCAACCAUUGGUCUGGAGGCAAGAUCAACAAGGCGGGGGCUCUUCAAGUGCGAGUCAACCAACCACUGGGCCCGCGAAUACCAGAAGGGGCCCACCUGGGCCAUGCCCAGUCUGCACACAAACCAGUCACUGGAGGUGGGACCAUGCUUGGUCCCGAAGGGGUAGGGGGCUCCCACUCCUGAACCAGCCAUGCUGGACAGCUGAGGGGGCCUAGGAUUCUGGCAGCUCUCCCACCCCCCACGAGAUCUGCACGGAGGAGCCCCAGGCAGUUCUUGGCAUGGCAGGUAAGAUGGAUUUUUCAGUCAAUAUGGCGAGCCACCUGCUCUGUCCUGAUUUCUCACAUUGGACCUCUUUCCUCGAAAAGCUGUGCCCCAACUGGUAUCCGAUGGAAAGCCUCACACCUGUGACCUCACUGGAGUCUCACUUGCCAAUUUCAGCGACAUCUGCAUUCACACACCCUUUUGGUUGUCUCUGCGGGUCCUACCCCACUUCCGAGGGAGACCCUCUGGGCUCCCUCGGGGCCAUGUUACAGUUAGGAGGGCCGGACACCGCCUCAUCCUGUCCUGCACAGGGCAGAUCCACAGGAAGGGCAAGGACCCGUUCCCAGCCACAUGCCACAAGCAGGGAAACCUGCGCUUUGGGACAAAGGAGUUCCUGGGAGCUUAGAAACUGACAGAACAGUGUGAACCAACUACAAUGGAAAAAAUAAAAAUCAUU
RNAcentral lists this long non-coding RNA (1932 nucleotides) under Sus scrofa (pig). RNAcentral's name for it is "lncRNA (ENSSSCG00015015210.1)". Lineage: Eukaryota; Metazoa; Chordata; Mammalia; Artiodactyla; Suidae. The record is from RNAcentral.